UCAAAUAAAAAAUAUGUCAAACUUUAUUAAAUUUUGGUGUUUACUCGUAUUUAUACCAAUUAGUUCUUUAAGUUUGAAUUUAACAAUACCGCCCAUAAAUUGUGAGGGCAAUAUUACUUGUGGAAAUGGGGAGCGGCACUAUAUGUGUAUGACGCCACAGACGCAGUGUAAGCCAUUUGAGCUACUCAAAAUGAACGAGGAUAAAAUUUAUAACUUUUUACUGGGACACAAUGGCUUACGUAAUCGCGUAGCCAAGCAAUAUCAAAUUGCGAAUAUGAAUAUAGUGCAUUGGAGCAUUAAAUUGCAGUGGAGAGCUGAAAUCUUUCUAAAAAGAUGUAAAGUGGAACCGGAUACCUGUCAAGAUAAUGGUCCCCUCGAAACACAAAUAAAUGAGAAUUAUCUCUUUCAUCAUGGCUUAAUCGGCGAAAGUUGGCCAGCGCAUCUUGUACGUCAAUGGUUUAAUGAGUUUGGAUAUCGUGAAGAAUGGCAGGAUUUUGCUGCACGAAGAAAAAUGGGCAUUGUGGGCAAUUUUUCGAAUUUAAUUUAUCCUUUGGUGAAAUUAAUUGGCUGUAAUGGAGCGCAUCUGCCCACUGGUUAUUUAUUCGUUUGUUUUUACUGGCCGCGCACACUUGAGACGUACGAGGAUGGUUUUCGAUAUGGUGAGCCUUGUGCGCAAUGCGAUCCCAAGGUACCGGCUUGUUCACGUGUCUUUCCUGGCUUAUGUGGCGUAGAUAUGGAAGUUUCUAACAGCGCAAGUAUAUUUCAAGAAGAUCUCUGCUGUCGGUGAAACUCAUAGUUCCAUAAUAGCUUCGCAAAGACUUGCUCUCGAAAGCACCUAAAGCCGAAAAGAUGAAAUUUGAAGGUUGUCAACAAGAGCUUUGAUUUUGUUCGCCGAGAGAGCACUUUACUUUUUCAAUAACAUUUUUUUCCAAAAGUUGUAACGCUCCAAGAUUGAAAGAAAUUGAAUUGCACGUUUUAUUUUAUCUUAUCCUCACACACUACCAAACUCAGCGUGGAGAAAGCGGAAACAAUGGUUGUGUGCUGAUUGAAGACGAACGCACUAGAUAGAGAGUCUGAAACCUCCUUUGGCUAGGAUGGAUGCUUCCCGAUUCUGAUGGAGAUUUUAAUAUUGUUGCGAAAAUGCGAG
This 1147-nucleotide unclassified non-coding RNA is filed under the name Ceratitis capitata (Mediterranean fruit fly). RNAcentral's name for it is "glioma pathogenesis-related protein 1, transcript variant X2". Lineage: Eukaryota; Metazoa; Arthropoda; Insecta; Diptera; Tephritidae. The record is from RNAcentral.